RNAcentral lists this transfer RNA (69 nucleotides) under Pentanemus quinquarius. RNAcentral's name for it is "tRNA-Glu". It matches the Rfam family "tRNA". Rfam says of the family: Transfer RNA (tRNA) molecules are approximately 80 nucleotides in length. Their secondary structure includes four short double-helical elements and three loops (D, anti-codon, and T loops). The record is from RNAcentral. Lineage: Eukaryota; Metazoa; Chordata; Actinopteri; Polynemidae.
GUUUUUGUAGUUGAAUCACAACGAUAGUUUUUCGAGCUGUGAGUCCUGGUUAGAGUCCAGGCAGAAAUA